Molecule: non-coding RNA, 136 nt
Organism: Hordeum vulgare subsp. vulgare (domesticated barley)
Lineage: Eukaryota; Viridiplantae; Streptophyta; Magnoliopsida; Poales; Poaceae
Source: Rfam
UUAAUCCUCCCUCCGUCCCAAAAUUCUUGUCUUACAUUUGUCUAAAUAUAAAUGUAUCUAGUCACGUGUUAGUAUUUAGAUACAUUCAUUUCUAGACAAAUCUAAGACAAGAAUUUUGAGACGGAGGGAGUAGAUA